RNAcentral lists this ribosomal RNA (292 nucleotides) under Hanstrassia lenae. Its description in RNAcentral is "partial 18S ribosomal RNA". Lineage: Eukaryota; Fungi; Ascomycota; Lecanoromycetes; Teloschistales; Teloschistaceae. The record is from RNAcentral.
UGGUCCAUUUAGAGGAAGUAAAAAGUCGUAACAAGGUUUCCCGUAGGUAAAAAUCGCUUGGUUUGCCUGUCGAAUCCCCCNGGCAGCGACUCUAAAGAACUGCUGUCCCAGUUGGUCCUCCCGGGCCGGCAACGCGAUCAAUCUGGGCUGGGAACGCUUCUCCGGGCGUGACCAGCAGCUCCUUUCAAGAGUUCACAGAUCAAACGGUUGCGGCCACUUCGGUGGUUCAGAUAUGAUCGGCCCCGGCUUGAUCUCGGCCGGUGACUUCGCGGAACCUGCGGAAGGAUCAUUA